GAAACUGUGCAGUUUGCCAUCCGCUCCUCUAGGCGGCGUAAGCGCGCUUCAGGUUCAGCAUGACACCUUUGGAUUCCUGUCAACAACAACAUGACACCUGAUGACAGUCGCCACAACACGUUCUGGUAGUUUUAAGGCCAUUAAAGUACAAACCCUGCAGAUGACAGCUCAGUGACAGACUCGUAAUGUCACUUAACAACACAUUUUUCAGCCCAUCUGCAAAAACAACCGACACACACUGUUAUAAAGUGCAGGAAUCAAGAAUGUCACGCGACUCACCUAUCUGGCAUUCUCUGACUCAACACUUUAACAGAGUCGUUGCCCCUCGACUUUCUGGGCUUUGGUUUUUCAGACAAACCGAAUAAGAGAUGUGUUUGGACCGUUACACCCAGUGACGUGUGGACAGACAUUCACAGUUUGAUGGACAUCUGCUCAGACACAGUUAAAAGCAUAACCACUGCUGGACAUCGUGCGGGAGCUCAGGGGGGGACCCCAUGAUCCCCCACACCUUCUCACUCACACCACAGCAUUCAUUCAUAUCGCAGAGAUCUGGCUGGAGUCGAACCAGCAACCUCUGAAACCGUGAGGCAGCGCUCUUACCUGUGAGCCACAGAUCUCUUGUCUGGACAUGUGAAGGAACUUAUAUUUCACUAUUCACCUGUAUGUGAGCUGGGAUUUUACAAUAAACCAGUUAAAGC
This is a long non-coding RNA of Rhinichthys klamathensis goyatoka, 698 nucleotides long. RefSeq lists it as uncharacterized. Lineage: Eukaryota; Metazoa; Chordata; Actinopteri; Cypriniformes; Leuciscidae. The transcript is spliced from 4 exons. The record is from RefSeq and is a predicted model, not a curated record.